This 520-nucleotide ribosomal RNA is filed under the name uncultured Glomus. RNAcentral's name for it is "SSU rRNA". It matches the Rfam family "Eukaryotic small subunit ribosomal RNA", at positions 569 to 1092 of the family's 1831-position model. The record is from RNAcentral. Lineage: Eukaryota; Fungi; Glomeromycota; Glomeromycetes; Glomerales; Glomeraceae.
AGCAGCCGCGGUAAUUCCAGCUCCAAUAGCGUAUAUUAAAGUUGUUGCAGUUAAAAGCUCGUAGUUGAAUUUCGGGGUUAGUAGGUUGGUCAUGCCUCUGGUAUGUACUGGUCUCACUGAUUCCUCCUUCCUUAUGAACCGUAAUGCCAUUAAUUUGGUGUUGCGGGAAAUUUGGACUGUUACUUUGAAAAAUUAAAGUGUUUAAAGCAAGCUAACGCUUGAAUACAUUAGCAUGGAAUAAUGAAAUAGGACGUUCGAUCUUAUUUUGUUGGUUUCUAGGAUUGACGUAAUGAUUAAUAGGGAUAGUUGGGGGCAUUAGUAUUCAAUUGUCAGAGGUGAAAUUCUUGGAUUUAUUGAAGACUAACUACUGCGAAAGCAUUUGCCAAGGAUGUUUUCACUAAUCAAGAACGAAAGUUAGGGGAUCGAAGACGAUCAGAUACCGUCGUAGUCUUAACCAUAAACUAUGCCGACUAGGGAUCGGAUGAUGUUAAUUUUUUAAUGACUCAUUCGGCGCCUUACG